GCUGCAAAUGGGCAUGGGAACCAAGGGUUAAUAUGGGGUGCCCUUUUUAUUCAGUUCAACUUUCUCUGGCCACGUGCUGUACCAGCCAAUGCACACAGCCUUCUGAAGCCACACCCCCAGGAAUGACAGUUAGGUCAGUUGGAAGGAGGAAGUCCUCCUUUCUGAAGCCACGCCCACAGCAAUGACAGUUAGUUCAGUUGGAAGGAGGAAUCAGGAGGAUGGACUGCUGGUUGUGUGGUCUCGCUAGUAUCCUGUAGCAUGUACCCCAAUAAUGGCAGGAAGCUACUGCUGCUAGUAAAGGCUCGUUCAUUCCAGA
This is a long non-coding RNA of Xenopus laevis (African clawed frog), 316 nucleotides long. RefSeq lists it as uncharacterized. NCBI's taxonomy places the organism in Eukaryota, Metazoa, Chordata, Amphibia, Anura, Pipidae. The transcript is spliced from 2 exons. The record is from RefSeq and is a predicted model, not a curated record.